RNAcentral lists this long non-coding RNA (30169 nucleotides) under Daucus carota (carrot). RNAcentral's name for it is "long non-coding RNA (DCAR_LNC003426)". Lineage: Eukaryota; Viridiplantae; Streptophyta; Magnoliopsida; Apiales; Apiaceae. The record is from RNAcentral.
UGAAACAUUAAAAUUCGUGGCCUAGUCCAAACUGGAAAUAUUAUUUAGCAACAGCAACAACUUACUUUGAAGGUACAUCUAGACUGAAACCAUGACCUUUAUUUAUUAUAAAAGUGAUCCUUAAUUUAUGACAGUCGGAGAACAAGAGGACUGUAAAUUUGUAAAUUCAGUGGUGAAACCAGGGGAGGAGGAACGAUAUCUGAAUAUAAGUGUCUCAAAUUUAUGCAGACCAUUGUUGAUGGUGAGAAGUUGAUAAAUAAUUACAUUUUAAAACUCCAGAUAAUACAAACAUAAAAAAAUAUUUUAGCACUGGAGUUAUAAAAUUAUAGUCCCCGGCCACCACUGGCUGGACUAAAUUGCAGAAGAAUUUGUUUAGAUGUCCUGAAGGCACUCAUUCUCUGCUCAAUGUUAAAACAUACUGAAGCUAGGGACUACAACGUGGUUCAGCGGAAAAAUUACUCAUUCCAGUAUUUUCGCUGUUCUAGAUACAAAUAUUAUUCAGGGUCAUAGUGCUUAAAUUGCUAUAACUACCAUAAUCACAAUCCUCCCUAAACUAAACUAAGAGUGUUUAAGAUGGGCUGUGACAAAAACUACUAAAGUUGGCAGAAGAAAAAUUACCAAUACUGGCACCAAAAUCGGAGUUGUUCGAUCUUGACUUUGUUCUUCUCAACAGUUUUAAAACACAGAAAAGCAGGAUAAGCAUAUCCAAGCACCAUCCUGCCACCCCAGAACUAAUUAGACAUGAUUAUCGACUCGUAAAAAAUGUACUCCUACUUUAGGCAGAAUAUAAAUCGCUUCGAACAAGAAGAAAAUGGGGGAUCAGGAUCGUACACAAGAAGUUUAAAAAUGAUUUCUGCCAACAUCUCCGAUGAUUAGCAGCCAAGGAUCCAAAAUUCCUGAAACAGAGAAUGAGAUGGUCACUACAAUUGGUAAGAAAUCUAUAUCGUACCACGUUAAAUGACCAGCUCUUCUAGAACUCACCUCAGUUUAACGAAAGAACAGUGGCAAAACACAUGCAAAGCAGCAGAAAGAGUAUUUUGAUUUGAGGUGUUUAGGGAAGGGGAACAUGAAAUAUAUGAACACACUUGUAGUGACUAGACGUGAGAAAAUUAUGUGCGACGUACACUCUUUUAUGGAUCCAUCUAUAUGUUCGUAAAUGCAUCUAUAAAUAUUAUUUAUAUUGGUGUCUGCUUGUUAAAGGAAAAGAGAUUAAAGCGUUUGAAUAAUCGAGAGGGAGGGAUCGAGGAGGAUGGGAUAACGGAUUACUCGUAUAUACUUUUGUUACAAUUAACAAGUUAAUUUACUCAAAUCCAUAACAAAACCCAGGCCUUUUUUCUCUGUUCUAUCUAGCCGCCUCCCUCUUUUCUCAUUCUGACGGGGCUUACAUCGAUUUUCUGGUGGAAAACCCUGAAUCUUUUCGUUUAAUUGUUUGUUUUUUUGGUUAUUCUUUCUUGUUUCAUUGAUUUUCUGAAUAAAACUCUCUUUUUGGGCAAAGUUAUCUUAGAUCUUUAUCACCGAAACUUUCGAUUUUCGUUCUUAUUCGCUUCCGGAGGGUUUUUUUGGAUUUGUGAGUAGAUCGGUUAUCUUCAAGUGUAGGUUCGUGGUGCAGAUCUAAUCGUUUUAGUUUGCAGUGGAUUUUUUCUCUUGUGUUAUAAUUAUAGUUUGAUUUGUCUCUUUGGUGAGAGUGUGUGAUUCUUCUCUCUUUUUGUGAGAGUUGAUUUAGAUUUAUCUCUUGUGUUAUAAUUAUAGUUUGAUUUCUCUCUUUGGUGAGAAUGUGUGAUUCUUCUCUCUUUUUGUGAGAGUUGAUUUAGAUUUAUCGAUAAAAAUCUUUCGCGAAUUGCAUUUGUGAUUGAUAACUAGCUCAAACGGAUUUUUUGGAAAAUAUGGUGAACGAUAAGGAUCUAUAAAUAUACUCAUUAAUUUCAACAUCGUUUAUUUGUUUCAUUUUGAGUAUGAAGACAAGCGUGUUAUUCUAUUAUAUGUUUGUUCGAUGCCGUAUGUUAUUUAUUGAAUUAAUAAAAGUUAAUUUACUCAAAAUAAAACACAAGUUAAUGUAAAAGUUCGAGAUUGGUUAAAUAAUUCAUAAAGCAGUACAACAAAAUGGACUGCAUAGCUUACUCAGCAAAUUUAAUUAAGUAAUUGCACUGUGCACACCUUUUUUUAGUUUGGAUCAAUUUGCAUCUAUAAUUCUAUCUAAUAUCUGCAGACAAAAUAUUAGAUAUGUGUAAAUUUUUAUUUAACACUGUAGGCAAAUACAUGCAUGCGGUAAUCCUUACAUUAGAUUAUAAAUCUUGCAUUAUGUAUAUAGCAUUCUUAUGAUUAACUGGGCGACAGUGAAAGGAGAUUCCUGUUUAUGUAUUUUUUCCCCUUAAUUUAGAUGAAUAUCAGCAGGUUCCUUGGUUCAACUUUUAAACUAAUUGGUUAGAAUAAAAUUUAAAGGUACUUUAUGUUUAACACUAAAGGACUUUGUAGUGCGACCCCUUUAGUAGGCUGUCAAAAAAAUUCGAAAUAUCCGAUAUCCGUCCGAAAAAUCCGCAACCGUAUCCGAGAAAAAGCGGAUAUUAUUCGUAUCCGAAAUAAAACGGAUAUUAUCCGUAUCCGAAUCCGUGAUAUUCGAAUCCGAAAUUAAAUACAUAUAUGAUAUUUAAAUUAUAUGAUAUAUAAGUAUAUGUAAUUAAAAUUUUAUUUUAUUUAGCUUGUAGUGUGUGUUUAUGCAUUAAAUAAUACAUUCACAUAAAUUUUAUAUAAUUGUACAAAUACUCAAACACUUUCUACAUAUAUACAAAUAUUAUUUGAGCUUAGUCAUAAAAAAAUUGUUCGAAAAUCAUCGUUAAUACGGUAGAGUCAUCAAAAAUAUCCGACAUCCGUCCGAAAUAUCCGCAUUUGUAUUCGAGAAAAAGCGAAUAUUAUCCGUAUCCGAAAUAAAGCGGAUAUUAUCCGUAUCUGAAUCCGGCCAUUGCGGAUACGGAUACGGAUAUAGGCAUAUCCGUAUCCGAAUUAUCCGUUUAACAGCCCUGGCCUUUAGUUUGGCCAAAUAUUUGACUAAUAAAAAUCCUAUAAACAAUACACACGAGGUUAGAUAUUAUGACCAAUUAUUAAAUAAAAAACUUUUAUUAACUUGUAGUUAUGUUAUAUUUUCAAUUUUCUACUGAUAAUAUGUAGAUUUUUAUAAUAGAAAUAUGAUUUCAAAAUACCAGUAGUAUAAUUUAGAAAGAUAUAAUAAAACUAUUUAUUACGAAAAUAUGUUUGAAUUAUUUCACAAAACAGUUAUAAUUCAUUUCAGGGAGCUGGCUGUUAAGAUAACCACACAAAAAUUGAUAUGUGACCUCUGUGGUUUCUCUUUUCCUUUAUUAUGCUCAUGUUUUUGCUUUUUGUGUGUCAUGCCUUAUCUUCGUUAUCUGAGUACCAACUAAACCAUAACCAAUAAACUUAAGUUGCAAGUAAAGUGAAGGUGAACUGAAAUGUGAAGAAGAAUGUAGUAGUGCAAGGUUGAUCUCGAUAGACUAAUAUUACUCCUAAUUUGUUAUUAUGAUAACUCUCAGAUUGGAUUGGAGCUUAAUUUUGAUUGACCCGGGCAUGGUUUCAAAAUUAUAUAUGUCUAAAAAAGUAUUUGAAAAUCGCACUUUUAUAAACAAAACAUUAUAGAAUUCGAACUGAUCCCCCAUCAUAAUGUAAUGUUGCAGGCUGCGAGCCCAUGGUAAAUAAAAUUAUAUGUGCAGCAUACAACUAAUAACAACUACUCCCUCCGUCCCACCGGGUUGUUAACGUUCACUGUUUGCACGCAUUUUGAGACUCUUAUAAAGUAUAGUUAUAUAAUGGUUUUUUAAUUUAUUUUUUUUCUGAAUAAAAGUUUAAACAUCAAACUUUUAUUCAGAAUUUUUUUUAUAAAAAAAACCUCAUGCAACUAUAUUUUAUAGAGGUCUUAAAAAGCGUGCCAAAAAGUGAUGUUAACAAUCCAACGGGACGGAGGGAGUAUUUGAAUAAAUGACAAAAGGGUGGUCGGAAUUUUUCAAAGUUUAUAAAAAAUUGACUGGACUUUAAAUAUAAUGAAAUAGUUGCUAGGAUUUACUUCCGCUUUUUAAUAAGAUGGCACCGUCAACCGCAGUUAAUAUAACUCCGUUAACUCUUAAAGUUAAGAAAAAAUGACAAGAGGGUGGUGUAAGUUUUCAAAAGUUGCAAAAUAGUGGCUAGACUUCAAAAUUAACAGAAUAGUGGCAGCCAAUUAUUUGCAAUUUUUAAAAGCUCGAGCCACACUCUGGUCCUUUAUUCUCAAAUUUUUGAGUUAACGGAGCUACGUUGACGGUGUUUGACGGGCGCCACUUUAUUAAAACACAGAAGUAAACUUCGACCACUAUUCUCCUAUUUUUAAUGUCCAGACAAUUUUUUACAAAUUUUGAGAAAUUCCGACCACCCAUUUGUCAUUUAUUCCAACUAUUUUGAACUGCAGAAUUUAUCGCUUUAAACUACAAAUUUCUAGUAUACAAGUACUAAAACAAAUGUUAUUCAGUCUUCUUCUGGCAUAGAACCACCAAAAAUAGUUUAUUUACAAAAUAAACUAAUGAUAAGCUCUGAUAAUUCGUUUGUUGAGGAAAAUUGAGCAUGCGGAGCUGCUAUAAAUUUUUUGGCAUACUUUAGAAAUGAAGAUAGACUUUGCUUUCGCUUUACAUGCAUAAAUUGCACUAUAGCUUAAUGGUGGGAACAAAACACAAAAGAGUAAGGGAUGCAUGUACAACAUGGAUUGAGACUUGAGAGACAUAUUAAAAUAUGAAGAAAUAUUAAACAUAAAUUUAAGAGUAUCAAAAUCUAAAAUUGCUUGUACUUUGGGGCAUUCAAUACUACUGAUCUGCACUAUAUUGUACCAGCAUUAUAGCAUAGCUCCUCUCCCCAAUUCUAAGGAAAUUUUAGUCACUCGUCCAGAAUUUUUUGGUUUAAUAUUUUUACAAUAAUCUUACUAUUUUAUAUUUUUAAUUUGUUAGAUUUAAUAUUGAUUUGUGAUUUAAAAUUAUUUAUCAAAUUACGAUAUUUAGUUAAGAGUUAAUAAAAUUUAUUUUCAGAAUAAAACUUAUAAUAAAGAGAAAUAUAAUUUUAUUUAAUCAAUAAAAUAUUUAUAUUUCCUCCAUCAUAAUCCAAAUAAUGUCAGUAAAUAUUUAUAUCAACCUCGUAUUAACUAUUAUUAUCUUCAUUUGUUGGAUUGAGGUGUUCAUCUUUGUUAUUGAGUUAUUAAUAGAAGUAAUAUGAUUAUGGGCUUUAUUUCAAUACAAACAGAGCUUGGGGUUAGUCAUAUCCAAAAUAAUGUUCUUGUUCCAAGUUUACAUUAAAAUUUACUCAGUGUGGGUUAAUUGUUCGAAAUGGAUAUAAAUUGAAAAUUGAUAUUAAUAUGUGCAACAAGAAGCAUGUGGUAAUAACAAUUGAAAUGAAAAAUAAAAAUUCUCUCUCAAUAUGAAAUAUGUAUUAGCUUUGCGAGGGACAACGUCCAUGGUAUAAAAUACUUGGCCAUGUAAAUUUUUAAAGUUCGGAGGUUCUUUUUAAUCAAAGAAUGGUACUACACAGGUUUCAUUACAUCCAAGAAAUAAAAGGUGUUUGCGAAAGAUAUGUAUUUGGAAAACAACAUCGACAAUCAUUUUCAAAAAAAGUCUCAAGCGGAAGAAACAUAAAGUAUACAAACUGAAGGUAACAUUGUACGUCUAAAACAAGCACCCAUUGCUUGGUACAAUGAAAUAAAUAAUUCUUUUUUAUAAUAUCUGGAUUUAUAAGAAGCAAAAGUGAACCAACUUUGUAUGUCAAACAAGGUACUGAUAUACUAAUUGUUAUUUUUUAUCUUGAUGAUUUAUUUCUUAUUAGAAAUUAUAAAAGUAUGAUUGAAUCAUUCAAAAGAUGGUAUAGCCUAAAAAGAUGAGAUGAGUCACAUGGGUUUGCUACGACAUACGAAAUUUUCUUGGCAUAAAGACUUAUCAAGAUGAGGAUAAUGUUUUAAUUUGUCAAAGAAAUUAUGCAACAAAAAUAUUAAAAAAUUUCGGAAUAUUUGGACGUAAUCCAAUUUCUACAUCAAUAAUUAUAGUGUAAAAAUUUCAUAAGAAAGAUGAUGGAAAAUUGAUGGACUAUUUAUUAUCGAAGUCUCAUCGGAAAGCUAUUUAUAUACUUGUACAACAGGACAGAUCUUAUGUUUGUUGCAAGUAUGCUCUCAAAAUUCAUGCAAAAAUCAAAUUACAUACAUUUUGGAGCUGCAAAAUAUAUUCUUGGUUACAUUCAAGAAACACUAGACUAAGAUUUUUGUUAUAUGAAAUAAAGAAGUAAAUGUAAAACUGACCGGUUAUAGAGAUAGUGAUCUUGAAGGAUGUAAAGAUAAAUUGUACAUCAAGCUAUUAUUUCUCAUUUGAAUUAGGAGUAUUUUCAUGACAAUCAAGAAAUAAGAAAAUGUUGUGCAAUCUAUAGUUAAAUAUGAACAUGUAUCAGGCACUUUUCAAGUUAUCUGGCUUUGGCUUAGGAGAAUAUUAAAAGGUUUUAAUUUUGAACAACAAAACUGAAUUCCGAUUUAUUGUGACAAGUCAUGAUAAAUCAGUAAUUGAAUGGCUGAAAAUCUAGUUGAUAACAAUAGGAACAAAGAUGUUGUACUAAAACAUCACUUUUUUAGGAUGCCAUUGAAGAUGGUGAAAUAAAGCUUUUGUUAUGUCCAUUUGAAGACCAAAUAGUGGACAGAUUUAUUAAGGCGUUAAGAGAAGUUCUUGAAAUGCGUCAAUAGACUCAAUACGUUAAGAGGGAGAAUGUUGGAAAUUAACGUUUUUUCUGUUCAUACUGUGGAAAAAUCUGUAGAGUUAAUCUAAAAUUCAUUUAUUUGUCAAAUUCAAUGUAUUGAGAGUCAUUCAUAUACUAUCUAGUAAAUCAAUACAAAAUAUAUUCUAUAAACACUAGUACUUUCAAGCAGUCUAUAUGUCAACAAAAAUUUAACAAGUAGUAUCUAGCCAAACAAGUGCAGCAGUUUACGCUGGUAUGUUUUGAUGAAAUUGCUGCUGCUGAGGUUGCAUUUUUCCUUGGCCACUCCAUCUAUUUGAAACCUUUUUUAUGGUCACCAUGUUGUAAGCUGCUUAUAUUUCAAACCUUUUUAAUGUAACAUAUAUAUGGUCCUGCUAAAUCUAAUCUUAAAUCAAUUUAGAACUUAUGUAUCAGUCGGGACGAAUCUAAUGGUGAAAUGAAUUGUUUUCAUCAUCUCUGUUUCCUGGUUUAUGAUUGGUUUGUAUUGUCCAUAUGAAAGUACUCAGAUCUGCUAGUAAUCCACUGGUAACUUGUUUAUUAUGUUAUACCAAGUUGCAAGUGAGUUGUGUCUUAGCUAGCUAGCAGUUGAGUUGAUCUUUGUGUGUGUUGCAUAUGAUACCUGUUUAUUACAGUUACACCAAACUAGCUUCAUCUAUUCACUCUAGCUACAUUUUCACUUUAUGUAUGUGUUACAUCAACAUACAUGGAAUGCCGUUGAACGGUUAAAGCAAGCCUGUUUAAUUUUCUACCCACCACCUGUACACAAACUAUAAUUCUCCCCUGAUACUAGUGAUAAUAUAUUACAAUGAAAACCAACCAAGGCUUCAUGUUUCAGCUAUCCCCUGGCCCUGCCUAACAUGAUAGCAUCACUAUCUCUGUUGCUGGGACUAAAUCAUGUCAUAUUCGCAAUACUUUAUACGCCUCAGGCCCUGCACCAUUUGACAGGGCAGUAAUGCAGUGUUAAGCUUAAUAUAUGCCAAAAAAGAAAGCUAUACGGCAUAUAUCUCCAAAUCCAAUUCUUUAACUUCAACUUCUUGAGUCAAGUGUCACACUCAUUUCGAAACAAUUACACGAAUUGAAGACGAGUCUGCAUCUGUAGUCUCUAGCACCAGAGACACGAAACAACAUGACAAUUUUGGUUCGUUCAUGAUUACCUUAAUUAUGAAAUUUGGAAGAUUUAUACAUGAAUACAUAACUAGAAAAUUGUCUUGUCUGGCGAAACAUUAAAGGCGGAAAAAUGUAAUACUAGUAAUAAAGCAAGCUAGCUGGUCUCACUAAUCUUGUUUGCCUCCUGAUCACGAAUGAGAUGGUGAUCAAGUCCUGCUGCAACUUCCUCGUCGUCUUCUUCUUCAAAUAGAGUCAAUAAACAAGGAUCAUUGGACCAAUUCGAAGAAAAGGAUAAAACAGAAACAGGAGGUUCUGUUGCGACAGUAGCAGAUGACAAAUCAGAAGAACUCUUACCCUCAUUAUCACACGAUGAAGUCCCCGAAGAUAAUAAAGUAGUUGGAGAAGAAAAAGUAGUAUUGGAAGCCGAAGAGAUCUCUAGUGAAACCAACAAGUCAAUAAAAGCUCCAACUAUAUAACCAUGGUUGCUUUUGCAGUUGAACUUUAGAUACCAGCUCAAAAGCUGAUCAAGUGAAUCGCGAUCACCUUUCAUGUUAAGGCCACUGGCCUCCACCACUUCCUGCAUUGAUUUCUUGAAAUCUUCGAAUGGAUUCGUCGAGUCCAUUCCCAUUACCACUAGUUUAGCAUCACUACUGCUGAUGUAACUGCUAGUACUUGUAACAGGAUUAUUUUUGUUAAAAUCAGUAGAGUUUUUGUCAGUCUUUGAUAGUUUAAGUUGAGGGCUAGUUGCUUCUGCAAUGUGAUUAUCAAAGAAUAGCCUCUCUGAUGAUAAUCUCGCUUGUCGAAUGACAUUCUCUAUUGUUUUAUCCAAGUCCUCGUCCUCUUGCUGCUCAAUUGUAUCUGCUGACAGAUCGCGAGCCGAUGAGUUAAAGAAGCAGGACUCUGUGGCUACAUGAACCGAGUUGUGCAUCGGUUCAUCUCGAAAAGACAGAGUCUUGGGGAUUCCACAACUAGGCCAUGGCCAAGAAGAAGAUGGUGCAGGUUCUGUGGGCUUGUGAAGGAAUGGAAUGAGCUUCAUUUUCUUACCCAUUCAAAUCUAAGGAAGAAAUGAUAAAUGCUGAGUUUUGAACGAUGUAGUAGUAGUAGUAUGAAUUUGUGUAGGAGUUUUUGAUGGUGGGCAUUAAUGGAUGGAGUCAGAUGGAUUUUAAACCCAUUAAAUGUGAUUUAUGAGUCGAAUUGUGGGGAGGGUUUUGUUGGAUGAGGAAGGAAUUUAAGAAUGCAGGGGGUGGUAGUUGUUGCCUCGGUGGGGUUGAGAUUUCAUUUUUUAUGUGUUUCGUAAUCUUUAUAGGUCUGGCUACUGUGCUCGUGCUGAAUUUGAUGUAUUUAACUUGUUUUGAUUGGUGUAGUUUUUAUACACUCAAGGAAAACAUCAUUAUUAAUAAGUACUUAUUAACCAAUCAAAAUGAGUUAAAUAAGUGUUUAACAUGUGUACAUGACACACAAUACAAAAAACGAACUUAUAAAUAUCAGAAAUAACAAAAAAAAAAUUUGUCUUUUUUUCUAUCUCAUAAUUAAAACUCGAAAGUACAGUGCGAGUGACGUUGUUAAGUCUGUUUUGAUUCCAAAGAUAGGGCGAGGCUAAACCAACCUCCACAUCAAACAAUAAUUUUGUCGAGCAAAGCUGUAUGAUUUUUGGCAGAUAAUAAGCAAAAGCAACCUCUUUACAGAUUGUACAGUUAACCCCACCGCAAAAGAAACAAAUACUAGGAUAUUGUAUGCAUGCAAUAUAAAAUAAGAGCGGUUACUAACUCAUACUCCCUCUGUCCCAUUUAAUUGUAUACGUUUCUUUUCAACUGUUCGACACGCAUUUCAAUGCUCUUAUAAGACAUAGUUCCGUAACUUAUUUUUGAGAUUUUCUUUUUCUGAAUAAAAAUAUAACAUCCAAAUUUUAAUUCAGAAAAAGAAAAUUUUAAAAAUAAAUUACACAACUACACUUUACAGGAGCAUUAAAGUCCGUGCCGCGUCCCCGUCCCCCAAUGUAUACUACUCAGGGGGACGGAGGGAGUAACGUUUUGUUAUACAUACUUGUAUCAGUUGCAGAAAAGAAACGUUUGGAGGUCUUUUCGAAAAGACAAAUGCUUCAUGCAUUUUGUCUGAUUUAAUCAUAUUUUUAUUACGCACAGGUUCAUGUAAUUGUCUAAAUAUAAAUCACUAAAAUAAAAAUUAUGAGAAAUUAUAUCUAUAUGUCAUCACUCAUCUAGGACUCAUUCUUGCCCCCACUCAAUUCAUCCAGGGCAGUGGGCACGCUAGAGUCUCGCCAAGAGUGCGCACAAGUCCUGGACAUGCUCUAGAUCGACAGUCUUAAGAGCCAGAGCCAAAACUUGACCUCAUCCUAAUCCUACUAGGCCCCAUUUACACUAAUCCUACUAGGCCCCAUUUACACUUAGAUCUCGUUUAGGCCCAUCCCGGGUCCAUCCCCCAAACCCUUACCAUUUUACUUCAUCGCAUUUGUUUAUUGAAAUACGAGUCAUAAUUUUUUAGUUUAAUAAAAAUGAUAUCUUGCAUUAUCCGAAUUUAUAUAUAAUUUAUCAUUUAUAAGUUGUCUAAAUGUAAUUAUCAAUUAAUCGAUAAUAUCUUUCAACUUUGACAAGUAUUAAGAUUUUUGUUCUGCUUAUUAUUUAUAUUGCUGAACAUAAUGUCCUAUGAUUUAUAAAAAUAAUUGUUCUACGUUUUGAUAACAAUGUAUAUGUUGUAGAACAUCAGGUUGUCGAAUGUUUACAAAUAUUGUGGAACAAAAAAAAAUUAAAAUUUAGAUGACUGGGUUAUAUUUUAUCCAAUUAUGUACUCUAAUACUCCAAUAUAUUUUUGUGUAUUUCAUGAAACUUAACCAUAUAUGGUUAAUGUAAUAAGGAUAUUUCUUAAUCUCCGUGAAAAAAAGCCUAAAACGAUAUCUAAAAAGAAACGGAGGAAAUAUAUAGCCAGUUUUAAAUACAGUGUUGGAUCCUGAUCAUUAGUUUAAUCAUAGUCUAAUGAUUAUAUAUGAAUUCUAAAUUUAAAAAUAAUUCUAAUUUGAAACUCACUAUAUUAUAUAUGUGUGUAUGCAUGUAUGCAUAAUCAUAAUAUCUAAUUUAUAAAUUUAUUUAUAUCUGUAUUGAUUAGAUUGAGAUGAUUAAUUAAUUAAUAUUCCCUCCUUCCUACCAGGAUGUUUACGUUCACUGUUUGCACGUAUUUUGAGGCUCUUAUAAAAUAUAGUUCAAUAACAUUUUUUUUAAUUUUUUUUUUUUUGAAUAAAAGUUUAAACGUCAAACUUUUUUCAGGAUUUUUAAAAAAUAUAUAUAUAUAUAUAUAUAUAUAUAUAUAUAUAUAUAAUGUAAGUAUACUUUAUAGGAUCUUUAAAGUUUGUGCCAAAAAGUAACGUAAAGAACCUGGCGGGACGGAGGGAGUAUUAUUUAUUUGAUAAAUCACAGUUUUUAAUUUAUUAUAAAAAAGGUUUUUUUAUUUUUUGUUGGCCUGCACCGAACUAGAUUAUUUAGAUCCGGCCCGGUCCACAAUAGUACAUCAGUCUGAUUCGGUUUGACAAAUGACAUGUUAACUGUCUGUCUAGUUCUGGAUAGAAGGCUCAUCCCUGUAGUACACACCACCAACUUGGUGCUUAUACUAAGAGCAAGUCAAUGGUGAUCUUAAUAGGUGUAGAUAUGGUUAUAAUUUUAAAUCAAAAGGUGAUUUUUGGUGUUAUUUAGAAUUUAUGAUUCAAUGAUAAAUGCAAAAUAACACCAAACAUAUCUAAAUAAAACUAUAUUUUAAUUACACAAUCUUAAAGUACAUAAUUGUAUUUGUCACUGUUACUUUAAAACUUAUUGCACUUUGUAACCCCAGACUUUGACUCGUUAGCAAAUCAGACCCCACUUUAAAACGUGUUAGUUUGUAAUCUUAAGUUUCAAUUAGCUUUCAGUUUGUAACUCUAGCUCACACAUCAGUUAAAAACAGUCGUUAACUUUAACUGUUUGAGAGGUAACAGUGUGUAUAUUAGUUUCUAACAACUGAUUUACCCCUUAUGACCCCUCAUAUUUUAUGUAUUAUAUUUUUAAAAAAAUUCUGAACACACACAAUGAUUGUAAAAAAUAAAUUUUAGAAUAUGUAUUUAGAUUUAGAAUCUGAAGAUUUAUUUUUUUACAUAAACGAUGUAACUUAUUUUAAAAUAAAUACAUAUCUUAAAAAUUAUUUUAAAUUUCUUUACAUCGUUGUGUGUGUUCAGAAAUAAUUUCAAAAUAUAAUACAUAAACUUUAAGGGGUCACAGGUGGUAAAGUAGCUGUUAAAAAUUAAUAUACACACUGAUACCUCUCAAACAGUUAAAGUUAACAGUUGAUUUUAACGGAUGUGUGGGUCAGGGUUACAAACUGAAAGAUAAUUGAAAUUUAGGGUUACAAACCACCACGUUUUAAAGUGUGGGGUCUGAUUUGCUAAUGGGUCAAAGUCUGGGGUUACAAAGUGCAAUAAGCUCAUUACUUCAUUAAUUAAUGCAUUUUGACACUUACAUGUUUAUGUGACAAUUAUAACACCAUGUAUACUUGGUUCUAUAUAUGAAAUCAAGUGUAGCAUUUUGCUAUUUUACAUUUAAGUUUAACAUCCCAUUAGAGUUGAGUUUUUUGGGUUUGGUGCUAUAUUAUAGCAAGAGCACCUAUUUUAGCACCCCGAAAGAACAUACCCUCCAGGGUUAAAACAAAACAAUAACUUAAAACAAUAAAACAAAACAAUAACUUAAAACAAUAAUUUAUGAGUUGUGAUUAUGUGAUGUAAUAAGUUCUUAAUUUAAAUUGUCUAUUUAAAUAAUUUAUAUGAUAAAUGAUUUAUGAGUUAUUAUAAAUAUAACAAAAAAAAACAAAUUUUGAUAGGUUAUUUAUUUUUAAAUUUUGAAAUUGACUAUUAUUAAAAAAUUAUAAAAUAAGAAAUGAUAAAAAAAAGUACAUCCUACCAAUUUGUGAUUUUCAACUGAUUUCUUAUUAUUUUAAUUCUAGAUGAGUUUCAGACUUAUUAUGGAAUGAGAGACUUUUCGAUUUAAAAUUGAAAAAGCUUAAAAGCCAUUCAAAAACGCGUUAAGUUUGUUUUUGCUGCAGAAUGUUUGAUAUUAAUAAUAAAAAAAAAAACUAUGCAGAUUUGACCAAGAAGAAAAAUAAGUUGUUUUUUGCGGGUAUACAAACGGAGAACUGGCAAACGGAUAGAAUAAAAUAUACAACUGAAAGGACAUGGGUAGCAAUAAGUUUAUUCUUUUGAUAUUUAUAAGUAAACAAAUAGUCCACUUGUGUAAAAUUUUACAAACAAUUCCGUUGACUCUUGUUAAUUAGUACGGGUUUCGAAUUUAGUAAAAUAUUCAAUUCGGUUGGAAGUUGGAACAUCACAAUUUGAUUAUGGAUAAACAGAGUACCGGUUUAUUCUUCACUAUAAAGCGUACUUUGGGGUUCUUUGGUUCGAAGAGUAGUAUCGGGUUGGAAUGAGGAAUCGGGUUAAGCUGGUAUGGGUUUGAGGUAUCAUAUCUGAUAUCAUGUAUUUGGUUGAGUGCUGGAAUCAAUAUAUGCAAUUUUUGUAAAACAUAAGUUAUUAAUUUAUAUUAAUUGAAAAAAUUAAUAAAAUUAUUAUUGUUAUAUAUUUUUGCAUCAUUGAUUUAAUUUUGUAUAAAACAUUAAUAUUUGAUUACUUAAAUAGAGACAAAAAAAUUAAAAAUGAAUGGAUACCCAUACCUCCAUCUCAUACCCACCUCCUCACCUAGGUAUCAAAAACUCAUACCUUGGGGGUUUAAGGUAUGAGUUUGAGAUUAUAUUUUCACUAACCAAACACCAGGUAUGGGUUUGGAAUGGACAAACUCUAUAUCUGAUUCCACAUACCCAUGAACCAAACGACCCCUAAACUUGGAUGACCGGUGAUUUGUGUCCUGCAGUCCUGUUUCAGCUUUCAGGUGAACUCCAUCAACAAUUUAGCACGAGAAGAUCAUACUCCCUCCGUCUCGGUAUAGCACUUUUACUUUUGACUAGUCAAAUUUAUAUUUUGACUAAAAUUUAUAAAUAUUAUAUAACUAAAAAAAAUUAAAAAAAAUAUCAACAAAAGUUAUAUCAAAUUUAUUUUAAUAUGUAAUUUUUUAUUUUGUAAAACAAUAAAUAAAUAUUUCUUAAUAAUUGGUCAAAUAUUAGUCAGUUUUGUUGGGCCGCGCAACACCCGUGAACUCCGCAUUAGUAUGAUAUUGUCCGCUCUGGGCCGUGGCCAAGCCCGCACGGAUUUACUUUCGGGCUCCUCCCAAAAGGCCUCAUACUAAUGGAGUUCUUUGGCUGCUUAUAUUCAAGAUAAAUCUUCUUUAUCUUUCCGAUGUGGGACUUGGGUUGAACCCACUCAACAAUCUCCCCUCAAUCCAAGAACCACCAAUCUUGUGACCCUUGUACCGCCGCUCCUCAUCUUGCGGGACACGCCGUCCGACCACCUUUGUCGGAAAGAUUUUCGACACAAGCCGUCCAAGACCUCCAAUCGCAGUUCUGGAGAGCCUCCCCCACAUCACACAACUACAGCCCGCAAACCCGGGAUCAACUUCUGAACCUCGCUCUGAUACCACUUGUUAGGAUCGCAUCCACUAUAGAUUGACGUUAAUCAAACACAAUAACAAGCACGAAAGUAAAGAACACAAACAAUUAACGUGGAAGCCGCUCAAGGGAGGGUAAAACCACCAAUCCACUAAAUAUGAAUGUAUUACAAGAUUGGAGUCGCUCCCCCACUCAACACUCUUGAAUACAAACCCCUCAACUUGAUCACAAAAGUUCUCUCUUGUGUAUCUCUCACACAACUCUCUAACUUUUGCAAUUCAAGUUGAGGGGUUUGUAUUCAAGAGUGUUGAGUGGGGGAACGACUCCAAUCUUGUAAUACAUUCAUAUUUAGUGGAUUGGUGGUUUUACCCUCCCUUGAGGGGUAAUUUCCACGUUAAUUGUUUGUGUUCUUUACUUUCGUGCUUGUUAUUGUGUUUGAUUAACGUCAAUCUAUAGUGGAUGCGAUCCUAACAAGUGGUAUCAGAGCGAGGUUCAGAAGUUGAUCCCGGGGUUGCGGGCUGUAGUUGUGUGAUGUGGGGGAGGCUCUCCAGAACUGCGAUUGGAGGUCUUGGACGGCUUGUGUCGAAAGUCUUUCCGACAAAGGUGGUCGGACGGCGUGUCCCGCAAGAUGAGGAGCGGCGGUACAAGGGUCACAAGAUUGGUGGUUCUUGGAUUGAGGGGAGAUUGUUGAGUGGGUUCAACCCACGUCGCACAUCGGAAAGAUAAAUCUUCUUUAUCUUUCCGAUGUGGGACUUGGGUUGAACCCACUCAACAAGUUUGACUCUUCGAAAAGCAAAAAAGACUUAUGAAAUUAUGAAAUGAGAGAGUCGGAGUAUUUGUUUCGGUGCUUUGGUCAUGUGUGUAUAUAUGUCUAAUAUCGUCCGUGAUUGUCUAAUUUAAGUAAAACUAUUUUUGAUGUUAAAAAAAUAUUUUAUUGUUUAAGAUUGAUUCUUUAUCUCAUUUUGAAUUUAAUAAAAUCUCUCGAAUUUCUAGUUAUUUAAAUCAAAUAUAUUUUUUAAUCUAACUUCAUAUCAAGUGUCUCAUAUUUUCACUUUUUGAAAAUACAAAUAUUAUAGCUUUAUUGUCACUCCCUCUGUCCCAUUUAAUUCUAUACGUUUCUUUUUCACUGCUCGACACGCACUUCAAUACUCUUAUAAAAUAUAGUUCUAUAACUUAUUUUUAAAAUUUUCUUUUUCUGAAUAAAAAUAUAACAUUCAAACUUUUAUUCAAAAAAAAACAAAAUUAAAAAUAAAUUAUACAACUAUACUUUACAAGAGCAUUAAAGUCCGUGCCGCGUCCCCGUCCCCCAAUGUAUAUAACUCAGAGGAACGGAGAGAGUAUGUAUUUAGCAUAAAUGAUCAAAGUGUUAUUUUAUUUUAGUUGAAGAUAUUAAACACCAAUAAAAUAGAGAGUAUUAGUUUUUAUUUUAUAAUAUAUUUUUCAAGUUACUCUUGGUGUUCGUAGUUGACAAUUUCAAACUAAUCAUCCAACACUCUCCGAUUCGGUCUUUUUAUAUGUUUAUUUUGAUUUUCAAAAAUUCAAGUUAAUCAAUUUUUAAUUUAGUAUUAGAAAUUAUAUAUUUAUUAAUUCUAAAAUCUGAAAGUUGCGUAUUAAAAUAAAUUAAAUAUAUUUAACACAAAAAAAAUAUUAAAUAUAUUUUCUAAUAAUAUAAUAAUAAUUAUUAUUUUCAAUUAUAUGAAAUGUGAAUUUAUGUCAAAGUGCAGCUGGUUAGAAAUCAAAAUGGGCAUGUAAAAACGGAGGGAGUAAUAUACGGUCAUUUAAAUUAAUAUAUUGAGAUUUUUGUUGAAUUUUCUUUUAUUAGAAUUUAGGAGGGCGACGACUAAUCCAAAUUUACAAGAUUUUAAGUGUUCAACUUAUUUCAAAACUUCAAAAUUAAUUUUGCUCUUUUCUUGUAGCUACACAUUACAUGUUCUUGUAUGUAUCUUUACCAAACACAACUUCUAUUGCUCAUUAAAAAAAUGAAUGAACAAGUCAAUUUUCCAACAGAACACAAAAAAGAUGACAUAAAACCCAAAAUUGGCACACCACACCAAAGCAGUUUAACUGAAAAGUGAAAAUAUACAUGUACAAUGCUGUUUGCUUCCUAAAAAUCUCAUGAAAUGAUCAUAAUUAAGAAAUCCCUAUACUGUUAUCCUAUAUAUUCCCACUAGAAAUUUCAAAAAGAAAAUCAUGGAAAGGAAGAAAAUAAACCAAAAGGGCAAAAGCCAUAAGACAAAAGAAAGAGGCUAGUCAGGAUUCUUACAGGCAGAUAUCAACAAAGUGAAGCCAGCCUUUUCUUCUUCAUUCUGCUCCACCUUGCUUUCCUCUAACCACAACCUACUUUCCAUUCCACUCCUUGGCCUAAACAUGAAUAUUGCAUACCCAGAUUUCGGAUUGAAGAACCAGUCAUGCACAUCCCACAUCAUAUCCACUAAACAACCAUCGAUGAAUAUUAUUUGGUUACCGCGGAAAUUCCAUUGUAAUCUUUUUACUUGGACCACAUUUUUGUCAUCAAUACUGACUGAUAGUAUUGAGUUCUUCUGGCCUUUUUCUUGUACAAUGCACUUGAUCAGAAUGUCGUGGCGGGUGCCUGUAGUGAAGAAUUGUGCCUUAGUUGAGCACGCUGCACCCCCUGAAAAAUGUUCGCUUCGCGAUACAAAUGAAAAUUUGGACAUGGGCACAUUGCACAUAAGUUUCUUGACUUCAGGCUCUUGCUCCAUGUCUCCUAGGAGUAAACUCAACUCGUAAUUGACAAAAACCGCGAUAUAAAAGCCACGGACAGGCUCAGGGCCAGCAUCAUACUUGGCAAAAGAAAGAUCCCAGAAAAUUUCGACCUUGGAAUUUGUUGACUUAAAACUUUUUGUGCCUUUGAUGUUAUGCAGGUAGAGACGUCUGGUGUGGAAUUUAAAAGGCGACGACGGGUCUUGAACGAGGGUGACCGUGAAGCCUCGGUCCAUGAGGCUACUGCACCAGGUGAGGCUGAUCAGGAGCUGGUGUUGGGAACAUAGCUUGACUCUGUAGAUGCAUGUGACUGCGUCUUGAAUUGAAGGGAUCAUAUUGGGUGAAAAUGUUGCAUGAUUGGAUGGUCCAGAGCAAUAUGAAUUGGAAACUUUGAUGGCAUGUUCACUGUAACAAGUUGCUAUGCUUCUCAUCUUUAGACUUGCCUAGAAAACAAUAGAACACAAGUUUGCCUUGGAAGCUGACAAGAAAAUGGGAGAAACAGAGAGAGAGAGAGGCAGAGGGAGAGAGAGAGGUUGUUAUUUUUAUGCUUGGCCUUUGGUAGUAAAAAUGGAGACGUUGAAGAUUAUAAGAGACUGGUUCAGUGUCCCUGGAUUACAAUUCCUGAACCGUUUGUCCUUUCAUUUACUCCCUCCGUUUCAUAAUACAUGUCCACUUUUGAACAAAUUACACAUAUAAAAAAAAACUAACUUUUGUUGAAAUUUUUCAUUUAUUAUUGUAUUUAUUGCAUUGACCAAGUAUAAUAUGUGGCAUAUAUUUGAUGUUAGAAAUAUAAUUUAGUAAGAUGUGGUAUAAAACUCAUCUUGGAAAUACAAAUAUCGACUACACUCCAUUAAAAAUUGAAAUGGACAAGUAAUUUGAAACAAUUUUUUGUUCUCAAUAGUGGACAUGUAAUAUGAAACAGAGGGAGUAUGAGUUAUGCAAAUCGCAUUUCUUUAGUUUGGUCAAUUACAUUUUUUUUAUCUAAAUCCUAGAUAAUUGCAUAAUACAUUUUAAAUCUUUUUAAUUCAUUUUUGUCUAUUUUGACUUAUCAUGAUCUAAAUCAAAAAUAUGAAAUAUAUUUAAAAAUUAACUCAAUUAUAAUGCUUUUAAGUCUAUUUUGCUAAAACGAAAUUGAUCCUAGCUAGAGUGAUGCAUUUUGUUAUUAACUUUUCUUUAUUAUGUAACUUCUGAACUCAUAUUUAUAGCUAACUAAUGUAUCAAAUACUACAUUCCUGGGCAAUUAAAACAUUACUAUUGAGUAUUAUCAAUUGGUUCAAACAAAAGCUUUACUUCUCUUCUAAUAUCAAUUAUGCAAGUGGGUUGGGUGAAUACGAAAAUAUGUUACAUGGUUUGGGUCCUCUUAUUUCCGAAAAAUAAUAUGUAAAUAUGAACAUUUUUCAUAAAAUAAGUUCUUAUAUUUGUAACCAUGGCCAAACAUGCCUAAUACAAACGAAAUAAUAAUUUCCAGACCCCUGAAAAACUUGAGAGACAAAAUUAUUUCUUCUAUCAUUUCUGUUAACAUGAAUUAUUCUUUUUCAUCAAAAAAAACCGGAGAACAUGUAUAGUAAGUCGCAAUCACAGGAGCGUAUUAUGAAAAAUCUGUAAAGUGUCAGUUAAAAGAAGGAGUUAUUAACCAAAAAACUCAAUCAACUUGUCAAUUUUUUGCCAAAAAACCUUUAAACUUCUGUUUUUUUUAACAACCCCAAUAAACUUUAUUAAAAGUAUAAAAGUAAAUACAAAAUAAACCAUGGUUAAAUCUACCAAUCUGAUUUGUCAUGUAUCUUUCACUGAUUUGUAUUUUUUUAUACACGUGUGUGCCACAUAGCGCCUAGUCAUUAAUAGGAAUAAUUUAUAAUAUGAUAUUUGUUAGUUUAGAUUUAAAAAAUAAAAUGAAAACAAGUGAAUAUGUGUGAUAUUGGCAUAUUAUUAUAAUGGCUGAGGUUGAUGUUCGAAAUAAAUUAAUGGGGUUAUUAGAGGGUGUGUGAAAAGAUUAGCAGAUGGGGUGUUAUUUCAGACGUCAUUCAACACAAAAUUAAAGAGAUGGAAUAGCUUUUUAUGUUUUCCCGAGUUCCGAGGUUUGGUUGGGGUGUUUUAGUCUAAUUUUUAUAGAGUUUAGGGGGUGUUUGUUUGGAGUUACUGGGGACUAUUGAUUGGACAGAGUAUAUGGUUGAAUAUUUGUUUGUAUUUGGUGGAUUGUUUGUGCUAAUUGGUAAAAAUACCUCUUACUGAAUUCAGAGUUCCAACUCUGCUGCUUGAUGUGCUGCAAGGCUGCACCUGAAACUUGGUUAAUUGUUUAUGCUCGAUUAGCUAAGUAAAAAUUUCACACAUUAAUAUACACCAUAAGAUACAUAUUUUCCACACAGAAAAUCAACCACGUAGAAACAAGGUAGAUGAAAUGCCUGUCACGAGCCUUCAGUUGGAAUAACUAUGACGACAGAGCAAUUCUCAGUCUGUUCAUUGUUUGAAUGAGAGCAUGGUACUUCACUGUCUUAAUGAGCGGUUGAUCAAACAUCUUAAAGCUGAUUUUAGUGGUGCUGAUAUUUUUCAGUUUUUUUUGAUUAAUUAUAAUCAAUUUGCCACAUAAUACGUGAUGAUCAUGGUUAGUCCACAUGAGUUAUAAGUAACUCUAGUUAAAUCUUUUUCCAAGAUUUAAUAAAGUUUAUUGGGGUUAUUGGUGAAAAAAAGGUUUAAAGGUUUUUUGGCAAAAAAAUGACAAGUUAAUUGGGUUUUUUGGUUAAUAACUCUUAAAAGAAGGAUGAUAUAGGUGCAACAAACUUGCUGCUACAAUUCGACUUUCUGACAGAAUUAACUCAAAUGGUUUAGAGUUGGUAAUGAAUUGUGUGCUAAUUAAGUCUGAGAUUAGUUAGGAUAAGAUAGAUGGAUAUCGCCAAAUAAGGAGAAUCCAUGGGAUGCUAGCUUGUACUCCCUCCGUCCCCCUGAAUUGUAUACAUUGGGAGACGGGGACGCGGCACGGACUUUAAUGCUCCUGUAAAGUGUAGUUGUGUAAUUUAUUUUUAAAAUUUUCUUUUUCUGAAUUAAAGUUUGGAUGUUAUAUUUUUAUUCAGAAAAAGAAAAUCUCAAAAAUAAGUUACAGAACUAUAUUUGAUAAGAGCAAUGAAAUGCGUGUCGAACAGUUGAAAAGAAGCGUAUACAAUUAAAUGGGACAGAGGGAGUAUUACUUAACAUGUGCACUGAAAGGAUGAUUCAUUGUCAAAGUAAUUUGCAUUAGGAAGGGAUUCCACCAACUGUAACCAAAAACUGCCUAUCUGUUUCCUUGCUCUCAUUUUUGUUUCAAUUUUUUUUUUUAAUUUUUUGCUUCGAUAUAAUCUUAUCACUUGGAUGGAAUGGAAUAAAAGAGAAUAGAAUGAAAUUUGAAUUCUAAAUUGGGGUUGAUCGAAGAAAAUGUAUAUAAUUUUCAUUCCUUGUGGACUAUUUUAACUAGAACUCUAACCCACGUGUUUCUGAAAGAAUAUCCAUUCCACUUUUUAAUUAUGUUUUCUUACGAUCUUUUUAGACUAGCUCCUAUUCAGUCACUAUAUUCUCAUACAUUCUUCGUCUCUUAUGAACUUUUUUAUAAUUUUUCAUUCCAUUCCAUCCCAGGCAACACGACCUAAUAUUAUCAGUGCUCGCAUCAUGGAAAGCGACCGUGUCACGUUUAUUAGCUCUCAAACCAUUAUUCAUGUGCAAUUUAAGUUUAGCCUCCAUGAAAACUUGUAGGGUUCUUACUCAUGCUAACAUACUGAGUGCUCAGGGUCCCUCGUGCUUCCUCCUCUUAGAAGCUCAGUCCAAAGGCUCUCCUUCCCCACGCACGCCCACACCCACACACAGUUUUAUUUUAUUGUAUAAAAUUUGUUUAUCGCGAUAAUAACAACUUAAAUCACCAUCAUAUGUUUGUUGCAGUUUGAUUUUAUGUCCCUUCUCAGAAGAUAUAACACAUUUAAUGUGAAAUGCAACACUAAUGUGUGAUGUUUUAGUAUACAAAAGUCAUCUAAGUAGUGCUUUUGAGUGUGUGGGUGAUGGCAGUUGGUUUUUAUAGUUAGUCAGUUAUAGACUACAUUGGAGUUACAAAAGCAUUUAACAUAUGAUAGUUAAAGGAAGAUCAUAAACCAACAUAGAAGCUUCCAAUGUCAGCAUCAAUUUAGAUAAAAAGAUGUCAUUUAAUCAGCAAGUUUCUUUUGUCUGGCGAUCGACUCCUUGCUCUGUAUCUGCAUAUAAAUCAGUUGCAGUAAUAAUUUCAUAUACUUAUAGGAUGUAUAAUAUAUGCAAUGCUAGGAGAAAACAGGUGAACAUAGAAAAAUUCUGUCACCAAUAAUGAUGACGGCAGAGUGCAACCAAAGCUUGCAGUGGAUCUAAUAAACAGACCUUGUACAGAAACAAGUGAGUGGAUCAUUAUUUUUGUCCAUGGCCGGGGCAGAAUGAUAGCAGGGAAGAUGGAUACAGGAUAUAUAGGAGAUCAAUUUGGCAACUGGACAUGUUAAAAAACAGAGGAAAUAAUAGUAUCCGAGUUGCAUGAUCUUUUUCAGAAUUUGUAACAUGAUUUAUUUUUGUUGCAGAUGGAUGACUAUGAUUAGCAGCAAGCGCCAGUAAUUAAUAAUAAGCAAUGCGAACUUAUGAAACAGCUUCCAGUAGCUUUUAAAGUUCUUCUGUUCAUUGAAAUCUUUCAGCCUAUCUCGCAAAGUUACAAUGCAGCAUUAAGAGGCAAGUCUUUCAGCAUAAAGUCGUACGCACAGUUUCACCUCCACUCACUGAAUAAAAUCUUACUCGAUUAUCUUUUAACUACCCCUCCAGAUUUAGUUUUGUAUGUCAAUAAGCCAACAAAGAUCUUACAGGAGACACGAGAGAAUGAUAGCGUCUCUCCAUCCUUUCAGAAUACAAGUGCUGAAAACAUCACUGAGGAAUGAAUGAGAAGCAAGCAGGUACUUUUCACUUAUAAGUGGAGAGACUACUUAACAUCCAGCAUAUACACAUUCAUAACUAAAAAUGUUAUAUGCUCUCAUUGCCUUUAAUAGGCAACAUACCAAAACUAGAACAAAAAGAACAAAUCCACAGACACAUAUUGCAACCAAAGGAAAUCAUGAGGAUGCAAGGAUUUCUUUAACCAGCUCAUCAAUUUCUGUCCCAUAUGUGCGGGGAAUAUAUUCUUCCCCUAUAUCACAGCAACUUAAUGUCGAAAUUCCACCAACUUGCAAGCUUGUAAUUAUACAGAUUUGUAAGUUUUUUGAAACAGGCAGUUUAAUAACGUAAUGCAGCAUGGCAAUUGUUUUUGUGUAAAUGACAAAAGGAUUAUAAAACUUUAGGUACUAACUGAAACAUGAAUUGAGUAAGAAGAUCAUUCCAUCUAACAAUGCAGGGCAAGUGUCAUUUUUAUGAUGAUCUGGUAGUUGGUUUUGCAACGGUUAUAUCCAGACUCCUGUGUGAUGAGAUAUCUGAACAACCAAGUAUAUUCUCCAGCCAACAGACUGCAUACCUGAAUUGAUUAGCUUAGCUUUCUAUUACAUUAUUUUAUGGCAUUACUGUAAAACAGAAAUUAAGAGGAUCUAAAUGAUGGUGUUUGUUGCAUCACUGUAGCUUGGGCAACUAAGAACUAGGCUCAGAUAAAUGUGAUUUGUAUAAAUUUAGCUGACUCAAGUCCCAAAUCUAAACUCAUAUAAAAUCAGGACAAGCUCCACCAGCAUGCUACAAUGUCAAUAUUAUUAUUAAUUACACACAAAUAUAAUCCAGUUUUCCUCCAUUUUAUUAAAAUUUCACAGUUAUUUGCUUAAUAUUUUUUGAAAGUUGUUAGUUUAUGAUAAUCUAACUUUUAUUUUUUGAAAGUUGUUAGUUUAUGAUAAUCUAACUUUGGAAAUAGUAUAAAUGUGUCCAUAUUAAAAUUAGUAUAAAAAUUGCAUUCAACAAAAUGUGGACAAAUAUCAUGAAACAUUUUAUUUUGACAAACAAAACUAUUAAAAUGAGAACUUAACAUCAGACAUAUCCCUCUUCACUUGCAUGUCUUGUGUUGGGGUUAGCCCCAAAUUUUUGAAUAAGUUAAGAAUUCUAAUUUGAGAAUUUAUCUUAUGUAUUACUCCUUUUGUCCCACCAGGUUCUUUAUGUUAUUUUUUGGCACGCAUUUUGAAACUCCUAUAAAAUAUACUCACAUAAUAUAUUUUAAAAAAUUCCUAAAAAAGUUUGACGUUUUAACUUUAUUCAAAAAAAUAAAUUAAAAAUCUGUUAUAGAACUAUAUUUUACCAGAGGCCCAAAAUACGUGCGUAAACAAUAUAGCGGGACAGAAGUAGUAUCUGUCGAUUAUAUAUUCUCUAUCUAUCUAUCUACUAUUAUAUUACGACCAUCUCCAACCCGAAAAACUCUUAGCUAAAAUUGUCUAUAUGGCAUAUAGGUGACAUCUAGAUGACAUUUAUAGAGAUUAUCUACAAAUUAUAAAACUUCAAACCCUCUAUCCUUUAGCAAAAAAAUAUAGUUGAUUAUAUUUGUCGAACCAAAUGAAGCCUUUAGGUAUACUGUAAUUUUAGACAAGCACAAUUAUAAAUAAUCCCGUUGGAGCAUAUAUAUGUCACCUUAAAAAAAAUUUAGAUAAUUAAUUUAGCCAGCCAUUAUACAUAUAGAUGCUCUACUAAAUACUAAUAGCCUAACACGGUGCUAGUUGAGCAAGAAAAAGGUUGAGACCUUUUUAUCAACUGAAAAGAUUUUUUUGACCCGCUAGAUUGAGAUGAAAAGAGUGAGAAGUGAAGGUAGCUGAAAACAAAUGAACUUUCACUUGUAAAUUGCAUCCCACCUUUGGAAUUAAAAUUUGAAGUAAAAUUAUGUUAUAAUUACAUUUUUAUUUGCUUUCAUGUCUUCGAAAAACUCAUAAACAACGACAGUGAAAAUUAUAUUAUAUAAUUUUAAUUCCUUUUCACUAAAGUGUGGGGAGCAGGACGUCACGGAGUCUCCGGCUGUGUUUCUUUUUUGCCGCGCAAAGACUGGGUCGGCAUGGGUGAAUCAAUAGCGACCUCCAUGAUUAUGAGACAAUUAAAUCCACGUUACACGAAAUUAGUUGAGAUAUCUAAAUCCAAGUCCGAACUAGCUCAGUUCCACGUCGCCCCAGCCGGGUCAAAACUCCAAUGUAAGCCUUUACACUGCAGACACUAUACAGUCAAUACCCAACUCUCACCUUCUCCGACUCUUCGCCUGAUUUUACAAUCGUAACUAUCCGACUAUCAGAAACAGUCAUUUCAAUUCGUGAAUGUUAUGAAUCCGAUAUAGCUUACAUAUCAAAUUCUAAAUUUUUGUCAGAAGUUUGAGAAUCAGGUUUCGAGUAGGUGACCCAGAGAAGUUUCGUAUAUUUAUAUGUAUCAGGAUCAUUAUGGAUGAACAUAUGAAUUCCAUGAUUGUUCCAGGUAAUUGCACGCCCCUUUUCAAUUUUUUUCUUUUAUUUUGUUUGUUUACCUCCUGGUUUGUGUGUUCUUAUCAAAGUCUGGAUUUUUGUUUGUCAAAUUUGUAACCUGUAAUAUUUUAGGGUUUAAUGAAUUAAUUUAAUUAGUGGAAAUUGGAAAUUUAUUAAUGUAAAUUAGUGUUUAGUGUAAUUUUGUUCUUGGGCGAGUUAGAAUUCUCUGUUUUGUAAAAAACAGGUUCGAAUUUUGUAAUCUUUAUACAUCUACAUAGCCUCCUUCUCUAAAGUUCCUUAUAGCUGAUUUUAAAUCUUAAAAUAAAAAGUGUAAACAAUUGACCUUUGCAACUUGGAUAGCAAUGUAUUAUUCAUAUAAUAGGUUCAUGAAUAUUAAAAUAAAAAUUGGAUAUCUCUUUGAUCUACAUUCGCCUUUCUUAGUAUUUGAUACCAUAUACGCAUAGCCAGUUGAGCAACAUGCAUGCGAAACCUAAAUACCACCAAUUUUUGUUGUUUUUGGCCUCAAAGUUCUCACAAAUAUUUCACGUUGCAGAGCUAAACCAUAGUAUCACUUUACCUUCUUUUUUUCAUUUAUAAAUGAUGUAUAUUUGUCUAAGCCUAUGGAUAGCUAACUCCCGAAUAGAAAUUUAAAAAAUUAAUUCAUAGGACUAGGAACAACACCCGUGCCUUGCACGGGUUUUAGGGCUAGUUAUUAUAAAUAUAAUGCUGCAACAUGAAUUUUGGUAAGCCAAUUAAAUCGUGUCAAAUUAUAGUCUUAUCCUUUCUUAUUUAUUUAUCUUAAUCUAUAAAUAGAUAAAUACUCCUCCCUUUUUAGUUGGAUGAUUACUAUCACUGCCCUUCUUCAGCCUUCUAAUUACGUUUCUUGCCAUUAAAUUUCAAUUUUUCUUUUUCAAGGCGCACGUGUACUGCCAUCCAGCACGUGUUUUUGUUUCCAAAUCACUGACGCGUGCUACAUUUUGCUUUAAUAUGCUGAGAAAUGGCGGGUUGAACUGCUGGGUAAUGUACACACUGCUGGAUAAUGCUUAUAUUCAAAUACAAGUCAAUGUUAUGUCCUUCUAAUCUCCCAAAACACUAUGUUUGCAUUUUGAAUUUGAAUUUGAAAAAGAAAGAGCCCAUUUUGCUCUGCAUUCUUUCAAGGCGAUACAGUGAUUAUUUACCCUUGAGCUCCACAAAUUCAUGGACGAUGUAAGUUUCUAAUGUUAGUUUUGAUUCUGCUCCACAUGUUAUCUUCCUGGCAUGAUUUUUUUUUUUGGAAUAUGCUCUUAUACACAAAUUUCCCAUGUCUAUGUUAAGUAUUUCAGAUGGAAGAGGGAUGUCCUCUACCGUCUGUUGCUGCUUCUUCAAACAGGACUCGAAAGGGUGAGAGAUUUAUUUUGAAUUUUGCUUGAAUUUCUGAUGUCCAUCAUCUGUUUGAUUUAAUUACAAAGUUAGCCCAGAGAGAUUCACUAAUAUGGUCUAAGUUUGAUGACUAAUUAUUGUUGUUCGAUUGUUUCAGGUUUAUUUUGUUAUGAUUUGAAGAUCUUUAAGUGUUUGGGAAGAAAGUUUGCAUAUUUGUUGCUUAUGAGUGAGAUUGGUUUUUUGUCUCAGUAUUACUCAUAAGAUGUUUGAUAGAUAGUCGGAAAGAUGUUUAGGUAAUAUUUGCAGGCUUGUGAUAUUUUCUUUCUCUAAUUUUUGAAUUUGUUUCCAUACUCUCUAAUCCUGCAUUUUAUUUUGAUUUUGUUUCUUGAUUAAGUUACUAAAAGUUUAUGGUUGGGAUAUGUUUAUUCAUUCUUAAUCUUGAGUCAAAAUUGCUAUGUAGUCAUUAUGAUAUUAGGCUAGCCAACAUAUAGCAAGAUGAAUGGGAUGGUGCAUCAGCCUCAAAUUAUUCUGUAUUAUGGUUUAAAGAAUCAUAGUUACCAUACUUGAAACUUGCCCUUAUCAGAUACAGUACUUGCUACCUCUACCGAAAGAAGCUUGAAUGGUGUAACAAUUUUUCUUUACUUGAGGAAAGCUUCUGACAUGAUGAAAGUACUUUUCUGGAGAGACAGAAGGUAGUAAACUCCUACUCUCAUCACUGUCAAUUAAGUUUGCGUCAGAUUUGUAGUGUAUUCCGGGCAGACCACAAUCUAUGCUCACAAAGCCUGAUAGAAUUUAAACAAUAUAAGACAUGUAGUUAAGUAUAUAUAAACAUGUGUUUGCUAAGUGUUUGUAGUACAUUUUGGAAAGAUUUAAGCCUGGUUCUUGUGCAUGACAAGCACGACUCGAUAAAAUGAAUAUCUGAGAACAAGUGCAAAUAGUAAUAAAGCUGCAGUAAUUUGAUAACAUCUCUUUCUCGCUAUAUAAUCAAUUUCUGUAAAUAAAUGAAGUGUUUCAUAUCCAUAAUAUGGUAGUUCAACACUUAAGCACACAUGUAUUUUUUCCAAUUUUUAAGAUUAAAAAUAUAAAAUAGAUAAAAUUUCCGACCCACAAUAUGGUUAAGUAGUUGAGUAGUUGAUAUGAAGACUUUGCUGGGGGGUAAAAUGGUGGCUAUCCUUUCACAUUAAGCAUAAGGUGAAAUCUGCAGUACUAUUGUUGUCCUAAUAAAAGCUCUUAAUUUAUCUUUUUCUUAUUACAUGUGCGUUUCAUUUAGCGGGAUGCCCAGUAGAUUAUUACACAUGAAUUCCGGCCAAAUCACUCAUUUUUCACUCAUUUAUUGUGCCAGCUAUAACAGUUUAUCAGCAUUCACAGAUGUAGUACAACUGGCAACUAAACAUUUUCUGAUGACAAAUUUACAUAUAAUUAUUACAUUUACCAGGGGAGAUGAUAAUUGGCCCAUCAAAGGUUCUCUUCAUAAAUGAAACCUCCAAUGGCUUAGAUAGUUCAAGCACCUUUCAGAUUGUUAAAUGUCUCCAGCAGUUGACACACAUAACAGAAUCAACCACUCUGAUUUCACUUCUUCAGCCAGCACCGGAGACAUUUGAUUUGUUUGACGACAUUAUCUUGAUGUCUGAGGGACCGACUGUAUACCACAGGCCUCGUGAUAAUGUUAUACAGUUCUUCGAGAAGUGUGGUUUCUGAUGUCCAGCAAGGAAAGGCGUUGCUGACUUCCUGCAAGAAGUGUGUUAGUUAUUACAAUUGAGAAAUUCGCUUUCAUGCUUAAAAUUGGUUGUGUCGCAGUAAUUAUUCUUUUGCCAUAAUACUUAUACUGCAAUGUCAACUUCGACAGUCACAUCUCUGCAGGUAAUAUCUGAGAAGGAUCAAGCACCAUAUUGGCACCCUGAUAAUCAACCUAUUUAUGUCAGUGUGAAGGAGUUUGCAAGAAAAUUAAGGAAUCCAGUUUAGGACAGAAUUUGCACGAAGAUCUCUUUCGGAAUACUGAAACGGAUGUGAUCCAGAUUCUUUAGUUAAUUGCUGACUGUUUUUUGUAUAUUUUUUCCGUUAUGUGUAUUUAUGGACUCUUUCAUUCUUUGUGCUUUGAUUGAGUUUGACGACAUUAUCUUGAUGUCUGAGGGACCGACUGUAUACCACGGGCCUCGUGAUAAUGUUAUACAGUUCUUCGAGAAGUGUGGUUUCUGAUGUCCAGCAAGGAAAGGCAUUGCUGACUUCCUGCAAGAAGCGUGUUAGUUAUUACAACUGAGAAAUUCGCUUUCAUGCUUAAAAUUGGUUGUGUCGCAGUAAUUAUUCUUUUGCCAUAGUACUUAUACUGCAAUGUCAACUUCGACAGUCACAUAUCUGCAGGUAAUAUCUGAGAAGGAUCAAGCACAAUAUUGGCACCCUGAUAAUCAACCUAUUUAUGUCAGUGUGAAGGAGUUUGCAAGAAAAUUAAGGAAUCCAGUUUAGGACAGAAUUUGCACGAAGAUCUCUUUCGGAAUAUUGAAACGGAUGUGAUCCAGAUUCUUUAGGUAAUUGCUGACUGUUUUUUGUAUAUUUUUUCCGUUAUCUGUAUUAAUGGACUCUUUCAUUCUUUGUGCUUUGAUUGAGUUUCUAUUUUGAUUUUAUAUUUUCUAGCGAGCAAUGUUGAUAAUGAUUUUAUAAACUAUAUUAGGAUGAAAGUAAGGUCCAGACAAUGUUGCCGUUGUCAAAUAAGUAUGCUCUGCAUCCAUGGCGUCUCACACUCGGAUUAUUAUAAAGGAAGAAAUGCAAAAAUAAUGAUAGUAGGUAUACACAAGUACCUGCUAAGCGUAAAGGGUAUGAUUAGUAUAAAGUCCCUGAUUUACGAAAGGGUUAUAUUUUAUGUUGUGAGAUCUGAUUUGAUUGUUCUGUAAUGUGGAAUUGUACUUUUCAGGCUUUUGCAAAUGUAUUGACAACUGUAUCGAAGCUGGUGAGCUGAUUAGCGCUCCUAAACCUGGUAGUAUGAUCGUAUCAACGCUUAAGGGGCUGCGAUUGUUGAACUCAAUGCGGAGGGGAUGGUGAGGUCAUUAAGUUGGUUGUCGCAAAAGCAUGGAAAUGUUUUGGCCGCAUUGAUGCUUUGGUCAAUAAUGCUAGAAUAAGAGGUAAUACUACUUGACAGUAGUAAUGGUUAUGAUAAAGUUAAUUAUGUCAGUAGUAUGUAUCAUAUCUGAUCAGAAUUUCUAAACAAAGUGUGAAUUUGUACAUUUAUCUCUUCAGAUUGUAUUUUAUAAACUCCUUCUGUUUCGCGUGUCCACAAUGUUUGCACAUAAAACUACCAAGAGAUAUAUACUUUUAGAAAAAAAUAACUAAUAAGUGACUUAUUUCUACAAAUAAGGAAUGUUAAACACUUAUAAUAUCGUUUUGUAGUUCUUAUUUAUGAUUGUUACUGAAUGUAUUGAUUAUAUUUGCAUAACUCAGGUGGAACGAAAUCUUCAUUUUAUUUAAGUGUAGAAGAAUGUAACAACGUGGUGAGAACCAACUUAACAGGAUCAUGGCUGGUGUCCAAGUAUGUUGGAUUACACAUGGUCGAAGUAGUUCAAGAAGGCUGCAUCAUUAACAUAUCUUCUUCUGCUGGAAAUGAUACAUGCCUUGAGGUUGUACCUAUUCCAAAAUUAAGUCAUGUCGGAGACUCUUCAGAUCCUCUCGAAUUCAUAAGGGAAGUACACAAAACGAUGGACAGAAAAAAGAAAUCAUCAGCUGUUUAUAUGACCUCCAGCUUAAUAAAGUGUGUCGGAAAAUUUAGAGGCCCUGAGGUACAUACUAUUAUAUUGCAAAAAAACAAAAAAUUACAUGCUAUGUGAAAUCGCAAGAUAUAUAUGUGUUCAGUGUUAAAAUUCUGUGUGUGUUUGUGUGUGCACGUUCCUUAUCAGGUUGCAGCUAAGCUUAUUCAUAGCACACUGAAGGAUUCAAGUAUAGCACUUCCGAAUCUAAUUGGAGCAGUGGAACAAAUGGCUAUACAAAAUCAUCCUGUUAAAGGCUUCUACUUCACAGUGGCUGGUGUUCCUGUGGUAACUUGCUAACACUCUUCUCUAAUGAGUAAUAGUGAUAAUACUUUCUGUAAGAAUCUAAGCUUGCCAGGAACUUUCCAUCCUAAAAGAUAAGAAAUUUUUAGAAGAAUCUGUAUAUAUAUUAAGAAAUGAUAAAUACACUAAAACCUAAAAUAUUGAUGGGUUUGUAGAGCACUGGUUUUGCGAUUGUUAGUUAUAUAGGGAAGCCGAGGGUUGCAAUUGCUUCAGAGAAAGGCUACAUCGAUGCAGAUAAAUUCAAGUCUUGCAUUCUUGAGGCUUUCUAUAUCAUUUGUAAAAUUAUUGCUGAUGUCUAUAGGUGGUUCAGUGGAA